This 607-nucleotide ribosomal RNA is filed under the name Veillonella sp. S13054-11. RNAcentral's name for it is "bacterial SSU rRNA". It matches the Rfam family "Bacterial small subunit ribosomal RNA", at positions 1 to 580 of the family's 1533-position model. The record is from RNAcentral. Lineage: Bacteria; Bacillati; Bacillota; Negativicutes; Veillonellales; Veillonellaceae.
UUGGAGAGUUUGAUCCUGGCUCAGGACGAACGCUGGCGGCGUGCUUAACACAUGCAAGUCGAACGAAGAGCGAUGGAAGCUUGCUUCUAUCAAUCUUAGUGGCGAACGGGUGAGUAACGCGUAAUCAACCUGCCCUUCAGAGGGGGACAACAGUUGGAAACGACUGCUAAUACCGCAUACGAUCUAACCUCGGCAUCGAGGAAAGAUGAAAGGUGGCCUCUAUGUAUAAGCUAUCACUGAAGGAGGGGAUUGCGUCUGAUUAGCUAGUUGGAGGGGUAACGGCCCACCAAGGCGAUGAUCAGUAGCCGGUCUGAGAGGAUGAACGGCCACAUUGGGACUGAGACACGGCCCAGACUCCUACGGGAGGCAGCAGUGGGGAAUCUUCCGCAAUGGACGAAAGUCUGACGGAGCAACGCCGCGUGAGUGAUGACGGCCUUCGGGUUGUAAAGCUCUGUUAAUCGGGACGAAAGGCCUUCUUGCGAAUAGUGAGAAGGAUUGACGGUACCGGAAUAGAAAGCCACGGCUAACUACGUGCCAGCAGCCGCGGUAAUACGUAGGUGGCAAGCGUUGUCCGGAAUUAUUGGGCGUAAAGCGCGCGCAGGCGGAU